Molecule: ribosomal RNA, 489 nt
Filed under: uncultured bacterium
Lineage: Bacteria
Description: partial 16S ribosomal RNA
Rfam family: Bacterial small subunit ribosomal RNA
Source: RNAcentral
GACGAACGCUGGCGGCGUGCUUAACACAUGCAAGUCGAACGGAAAGGCCCCCACCUUGGGGGGGGUGCUCGAGUGGCGAACGGGUGAGUAACACGUGGGUGAUCUGCCCUGUACUUCGGGAUAAGCUUGGGAAACUGGGUCUAAUACCGGAUAGGACCAUGGUUUAGUGUCUCAUGGUGGAAAAAUUAUUGUUUUGGUGCAGGAUGGGCUCGCGGCCUAUCAGCUUGUUGGUGGGGUAAUGGCCUACCAAGGCGUCGACGGGUAGCCGGCCUGAGAGGGUGGACGGCCAGAUUGGGACUGAGAUACGGGCCAGACUCCUACGGGAGGCAGCAGUGAGGAAUAUUGAACAAUGGGCGCAAGCCUGAUGCAGCGAGGCCGCGUGGGGGAUGACGGCCUUCGGGUUGUAAACUCCUUUCGUUAGGGACGAAGCCACACCUUUUUGGGGUGUGGUGACGGUACCUUUGUUAAGAAGCACCGGCUAACUACGUG